Molecule: non-coding RNA, 54 nt
Organism: Salmo salar (Atlantic salmon)
Lineage: Eukaryota; Metazoa; Chordata; Actinopteri; Salmoniformes; Salmonidae
Source: Rfam
UUUAUUUAACUAGGCAAGUCGCUCUGGAUAAGAGCGUCUGCUAAAUGACUUAAA